RNAcentral lists this long non-coding RNA (216 nucleotides) under Mytilus galloprovincialis (Mediterranean mussel). Lineage: Eukaryota; Metazoa; Mollusca; Bivalvia; Mytilida; Mytilidae. The record is from RNAcentral.
UUGGCCCAGUAGUUUCAGAGGAGAAGAUUUUUGUAAAAGAUUACUAAGAUUUAUGAAAAAUGGUUAAAAAUUGACUAUAAAGGGCAAUAACUCCUAAAGGGGUCAACUGACCAUUUCAGUCAUGUUGACUUAUUUGUAAAUCUUACUUUGCUGAACAUUAUUGCUGUUUACAGUUUAUCUCUAUCUAUAAUAAUAUUCAAGAUAAUAACCAAAAAC